RNAcentral lists this ribosomal RNA (494 nucleotides) under uncultured bacterium. RNAcentral's name for it is "bacterial SSU rRNA". It matches the Rfam family "Bacterial small subunit ribosomal RNA", at positions 28 to 506 of the family's 1533-position model. The record is from RNAcentral.
GAUGAACGCUAGCGGCAGGCUUAAUACAUGCAAGUUGAGGGGCAGCAUGAUAUACGCGAGUAUAUUGAUGGCGACCGGCGGACGGGUGAGUAAUAGGUAGGAGACCUACCUCAUACAGGGGGAUAGCAUAGAGAAAUCUGUGGUAAUACCCCAUGAGGUUAUAUGAAUAGAGGCAUAUAAUCAAAGCAUAAGCGAUUAUGCGGUAUGAGAGGGGCCUACUGACCAUUAGCUAGUUGGUGAGGUAAGGGCUCACCAAGGCGAAGAUGGUUAGGGGUUUUGAGAGAGAGACCCCCCACAUUGGAACUGAGAGACGGUCCAGACUCCUACGGGAGGCAGCAGUAGGGAAUAUUGGGCAAUGGGCGAAAGCCUGACCCAGCCAUGCCGCGUGAAGGAAGACAGCCUUAUGGGUUGUAAACUUCUUUACUACGCGAAUAGAGGUUAGUACGAGAUACUAAUAGGAAGGUAGUGUAGUAAAAGACACCGGCUAACUCCGU